GACGAACGCUGGCGGCGUGCUUAACACAUGCAAGUCGCAAGGUAAGGCCCUCCGGGGUACACGAGUGGCGAACGCGUGAGCAACACGUGGGUGAUCUGCCCUGCACUUCGGGAUAAGCCUGGGAAACUGGGUCUAAUACCGGAUAGGACUCCGGACUGCUUGGUCUGGGGCGGAAAGCUUUUGCGCGUGUGGGAUGGGCUCGCGGCCUAUCAGCCUGUUGGUGGGGUGAUGGCCUACCAAGGCGACGACGGGUAGCCGGCCUGGGAGGGUGACCGGCCACACUGUGACUGAGCUACGGCCCAGACGUCUAGGGGAGGCAGCAGUGGAGAUGAUUGCACAGUGGUGGCAAGCCUGAUGCAGCGACGCCGCGUGAGGGAUGACGGCCUUCGGGUUUUAAACCUCUUUCGGCGUCAGCGAAGCGAAAGUCACAGUAGGUGCAGAAGAAGGAGCGGCCAGCUACGUGCCAGCCGCCGCCGUAA
This 479-nucleotide ribosomal RNA is filed under the name uncultured bacterium. RNAcentral's name for it is "partial 16S ribosomal RNA". It matches the Rfam family "Bacterial small subunit ribosomal RNA", at positions 28 to 523 of the family's 1533-position model. The record is from RNAcentral.